CUUCUUAUACAAUCAGUUCUCCAAAUUACCCAAGACGGUAGCCUACAGAUAGACAUGAAAUAAAGAGGCAUUGCAGAGAGGACCGUAUUCACAAGAAUGAAUCCACUCCCAAAGGAUGGCAAGCUUCCUUUCCAGGCAGCCAAGCAAGAUUCCAUCCUUUAAAUUAGGUGCCUCCAAUCCAAUUUGAUAAGUUUGCUUCCUUUGAGAGAUAGUCCAAAAUAGGAAAUGGGAAGAGAACCGGACUUAGAGUUCAGCCAAGAAACACA
Molecule: long non-coding RNA, 266 nt
Filed under: Elaeis guineensis (African oil palm)
Lineage: Eukaryota; Viridiplantae; Streptophyta; Magnoliopsida; Arecales; Arecaceae
Description: long non-coding RNA (EGUI_LNC045143)
Source: RNAcentral